GUAGGGAAUAUUGGACAAUGGGCGAAAGCCUGAUCCAGCCAUGCCGCGUGAUAGAUGAAGGCCCUCUGGGUUGUAAAUAUCUUUUAUCUGGGAAGAAACUCCUCUAUUCUUAGAGGCCUGACGGUACCAGAGGAAUAAGCACCGGCUAACUCCGUGCCAGCAGCCGCGGUAAUACGGAGGGUGCAAGCGUUAUCCGGAUUCACUGGGUUUAAAGGGUGCGUAGGCGGGUUGAUAAGUCAGUGGUGAAAGCUCCGGGCUUAAAUUGGAAACUGCCAUUGAUACUGGCAGUCUUGAAUGUCGUAGAGGUAAGCGGAAUGUUGCAUGUAGCGGUGAAAUGCUUAGAUAUGUUACAGAACACCAAUUGCGAAGGCAGCUUACUAUGCGAUAAUUGACGCUGAGGCACGAAAGCGUGGGGAGCAAACAGGAUUAGAAACCCGGGUAGUCC
RNAcentral lists this ribosomal RNA (445 nucleotides) under uncultured bacterium. RNAcentral describes it as "partial 16S ribosomal RNA". It matches the Rfam family "Bacterial small subunit ribosomal RNA", at positions 354 to 796 of the family's 1533-position model. The record is from RNAcentral.